This 2397-nucleotide long non-coding RNA is filed under the name Setaria viridis. RNAcentral's name for it is "long non-coding RNA (SVIR_LNC009935)". Lineage: Eukaryota; Viridiplantae; Streptophyta; Magnoliopsida; Poales; Poaceae. The record is from RNAcentral.
GAUGCUCAACUGCUGGGCGGAUGGCGUGCCGAUGAUUACCCAGCGCCCCAUCCUUCCAGACCAUAACUUUACCUACCGUUUCGAUGUUUCCGGGCAGGAAGGAACCCUAUGGUGGCAUGCUCAUGUCCCCUGCCUCCGUGCAACAAUACAUGGCAUCUUGAUCAUCCGGCCGCGGCAUGGAGCCAUCUCCUAUCCAUUUCCUAAGCCUCAUAAGGAGAUCCCCAUCAUUAUAGGUAUGUGAAUUUUCACCAUUUGACAGCCUAAUAAAAUAACAUCAAAAUUGCACACUGUUUUCAUACUGGACGCAGUCGUUCCCCACCGGCAGCGCGCAAAUUCCAUGGGCGCCGUAGGACGGGACGAUGGCAUACUGUUCCGGCGCCGGGAGGCACUCCGACGUCAGGAGGAGCCGCCGGCGCGUCCGAGGGAGUUCCUUUUCAGUUUUCCUUUGUUGAUUUGCCCCGUUCCAAAAUUGCUGCUCAGUCUCGUCAAUUCUCCCCCGUAUCGGCGUAUUUAGCUUCUUGCGUUCCCACGAUUCUAUAGGUGUUCAUUACCAUCAUUAAGCAUUAAGCUAUGGCAGGUUCGCCUCUAGGAUCCUAGGCCAUCGUCCAAAAAUGCAUUCUCUUCAUGGUCAUCAGCAUGGUCCUUGCCUCCUCAUCUUCCUCGUGGCUUCCAGCAACGCGGCAGGUGCCUCUGUUAGCUCUGGGCCUUAGUUGCAGCGUGGCACAGGCACAGGCACACGCACACCAUGCCACGCAGCAGUAUACAGGUCCGGCGCGGCGUCACGCGUAGCGUUCGAGGAGGCCCGCGGCAUCCGGCCCGGCCACAGCGUGAGCCACAACGGUGAUCUCUACCACCGGGACCUGCUGUGGAUCCAUAACCGAUCCAAAAUAACAAGGAAAAUAGUGCACAAAGAGAAUCAAAUAAUUAUAAAGCAAAGUCGGAAAUCUAGCUGGCAUACGUUCUAUACUUUUAUUUCACAAUGCUGUGGCUGAACUGUUUGCUGUUGUGUUCCUGGUAAUGACAGGGGAGUGGUGGGACCUAGAGGACCUUGGACAGGUGGACAGGCACUUGAGGCAUUAUGUGGCUGACGAUUACUUCAAAGCGUCCACAAUCAAUGGCAAGCUUGGAGAUCUCUACAACUGCUCUGGUAAUCAAAAUAGGUAGUAUUAGACUAAUACAUGUCCACGUUGAAACAUUAUGUUUUAUCUCACUGAAGUUUCAUGAUUCAACUUUGAAGGUGUCGUCGAAGAAGGCUACAAGCUGGACGUGGAGCCCGGCAAGACCUACCUGCUCCGAGUACUCAAUGCUGCGCUCUUCUCUGAGUACUACCUCAAGGUAGCUGGGCACAAGUUCAGAGUGGUUGCUGGCGAUGCCAACUACGUUAGCCCCUAUACGACGGACAUCAUCGCGAUUGCUCCCGGCCAGACAUUCGACGCCCUCGUGGUCGCCGAUGCGUCUCCUGGAAGAUACUACAUGGUCGCCAUGCCCAACCAGGCUCCAAAGCCCGACUAUCAGAGCCCAGUCUUGCCCACUAGAGGCAUACUGCAGUAUAGCAACGGAGCAGGAGGAAAUCAGCCCGGUGAUGUUCCAAUGUCACCAGAGAUGCCUGACAACCACAACCAUAUGCUAUCGUUCUACUUCCAUGGCAACCUUACCAGCUUGCACCACCCAAGACACCUACCAGUGCCGAAGCGAAUCGAUGAACGCCUAUUCAUAACGCUCGGGCUUGGCUCCGUUUGUCGGCAAGGCCAGUCCUGCGAGAGAGGAGCAGAGAGCGACGAGGUCAUCGUUGUGGCAACCAUGAAUAAUAUAUCAUACGAGCUCCCCACCGUGUCGAGACCACUGCUAGAAGCCCACUACCAGAACCCCAGCAACAUUGACUGGCUGCAAGAACUCCCUGAUGUACCACCGCGGGUGUUCAACUUCACUGACAGUUCCUUGAUCCCAACAGGACCCAAGGAGGAACAACUAGAGCCGACGUCCAAGGCUGCGUUGGCACGGCGAUUCCGGUAUGGAGCUGUUGUUGAUGUGGUGUUCCAGAGCACGUCAAUGUUGCAGAGCGAGUCCAACCCGAUGCACCUGCACGGACAUGACAUGUUCGUGCUGGCACAGGGCAGCGGCAACUAUGACAAGGAAAGGGAUGUGGCGAAGUACAACCUAGUUAAUCCUCCACUUGUGAACACCGUGCUUGUACCACGGCUUGGAUGGGUGGCUGUCCGGUUUAUUGCGGACAAUCCAGGUACGAACGUGAUUUUAACUUUCUUUUUUUUGCCAAGGAAGAUACAAUUAUGUAGAACAUAACAACUCUUUCUCUUUCGGAAUUUGUUAUAUGAAUAACUGCCCUACGAUACACUAGCUAGGUUUAAAGUUUGAUUUGUAUGUAUGAGGCUGAAAAGU